This 482-nucleotide ribosomal RNA is filed under the name uncultured bacterium. Its description in RNAcentral is "partial 16S ribosomal RNA". It matches the Rfam family "Bacterial small subunit ribosomal RNA", at positions 28 to 523 of the family's 1533-position model. The record is from RNAcentral.
GACGAACGCUGGCGGCGUGCUUAACACAUGCAAGUCGAACGAUGAAGUUCCUUCGGGAAUGGAUUAGUGGCGAACGGGUGAGGAACACGCGAACAAUCUGCCCCUUACACGGGAAUAACUUCGGGAAACCGAAGCUAAUACCCGAUAUUGAAUUCGGUAGGCAUCUACUGAAUUUGAAAUGGUCCGCCGGUAAGGGAUGAGUUUGCGGCCUAUCAGCUUGUUGGUGAGGUAACGGCUCACCAAGGCGACGACGGGUAGCCGGCCUGAGAGGGCGACCGGCCACACUGGGACUGAGACACGGCCCAGACUCCUACGGGAGGCAGCAGUGGGGAAUAUUGCGCAAUGGACGAAAGUCUGACGCAGCAACGCCGCGUGAGGGAUGACGGCCUUCGGGUUGUAAACCUCUUUCAAUCGGGACGAAGCGAAAGUGACGGUACCGAUACAAGAAGCACCGGCUAACUAUGUGCCAGCCGCCGCAGGAA